This 1237-nucleotide long non-coding RNA is filed under the name Strigops habroptila (Kakapo). Its description in RNAcentral is "lncRNA (ENSSHBG00005012745.1)". Lineage: Eukaryota; Metazoa; Chordata; Aves; Psittaciformes; Psittacidae. The record is from RNAcentral.
GUGCGUGGCUGAGCUGUGAGCAAUUCUUGAAGAAGACUAUCAGAAACAUGGGAGGAGGAGAAGAAAAGUUGGCUCUUAGGUGGAGGCUGGAUAUAGAAUUCACUAAAACCAAAUCAAAUCUUUCCCGUGAGUGAGUGGCAGUUUUGGCCCUGAUGAGACAAGCUGCUUAUAGCUUUAUACUCCUUAAUUUAACUCAGAUAAAACGGCUGCAAAGCAGUUUUCAGUUCAUUCCUGUGUUGGCCUACUGCUUUCCCUGGCACUUUCUCCUGCCCCACUGUUUGAACAUCAAGAUUUUCUUCCUUUGUGUUGCAUAUACAAUCAACUUCUUAAAAAAUGAAUAAAUAGAGAAUUUAAAAUUCUAUAGAAACAAAAGACUUCUUUCCCCAGCAGUUUAAAAUCUUGCUGAAUAGUUUUUAAUUGCAAGGAGAAUCACUGGCAUGGAAAGCACGAGAUCUGAAUUUCUCUUCUAGCUUAACCUUCUUAGUUUGAAAAGUGAUGUAGCAGCCCCUGUCGCCUUCACGUAUGUAUCUGAGCACUGAAAUGUAGAAGUAUUAUUUCAUCAAUUUGUUCUUUCCUUCCCAUCUCUUUUAUGAGAUAUAUUGACUAUGCCAUAUAUAAAAUAUAGUUAAUACUGAACUUUAUAGCAAGAAAAACGCUUUAUGCUAUGCCUAGGGACUGGUUUGUCCUACAUGACCAGGUCAUUUACUAUGCCCUACCCUAUUAAUAUGCAAAGAUUAAAGGUUUUAUGCUCUGAAGGUGAAAUUUAUCCUUUUGGAGAAGGUUAGUGUUAGGCCUGUGCACUUAAGUUUUCAAAAAGCCUUAAAAACAGGUAUGUAAGUGGUGCCAUCUCUCUCCUCAGGGAUGAUUCCCCCCCUGCCAAGUGGUUCCGUGGCAUAUUUAAGAUAACUUAUUAGUUGUAAGGUCAUUUUCCAGUUGAAGAAAGUCAUUCAUUGAACUUUAAUAGUGAGCCUCCUCACUAGCAUCCUCUGGUACCAGCAAAGGCUGGUUGGAGGCAUUACACCUGCUUUUCCCAAAACGUGGCCAUUCCAUGUCAAACCCAAAGUCCUUGGCUGUCCAUGAUAAAGUCUGCAUUUCUGCAGCUGUUUCGUGAAUGGAAAAAACCUGACCUGAUUCCCAGGCUUCAUUUUCACUGCUGUUCCCAAACAUGUUCUGGCAUUAUAAGGAAAUGUCUCUUUUUAAAAAAUGGAUCAGAUUAUUAUAUUUUUCCUUGCCCAGC